This 798-nucleotide ribosomal RNA is filed under the name uncultured bacterium. Its description in RNAcentral is "bacterial SSU rRNA". It matches the Rfam family "Bacterial small subunit ribosomal RNA", at positions 8 to 796 of the family's 1533-position model. The record is from RNAcentral.
AGAGUUUGAUCAUGGCUCAGAACGAACGCUGGCGGCGUGGAUAAGACAUGCAAGUCGAACGCUGAUUUGCGGGUAGCAAUAUUCGUAAGUCGGAGUGGCGCAAGGGUGUGUAACACGUGGGUAAUCUGCCGUGAAGUCUGGGAUAACUUGCUGAAAGGCGAGCUAAUACCGGAUGUGAACGCAAGUUCAAAGUUGGGGACCGUAAGGCCUGACGCUUCACGAUGAGCCCGCGGCCUAUCAGCUAGUUGGUGAGGUAACGGCUCACCAAGGCUAAGACGGGUAGCUGGUCUGAGAGGACGACCAGCCACACUGGAACUGAGACACGGUCCAGACACCUACGGGUGGCAGCAGUCGAGAAUUUUUCUCAAUGGGCGAAAGCCUGAAGGAGCGACGCCGCGUGGGGGAUGAAUGGCUUCGGCCCGUAAACCCCUGUCAUUUGCGAACAAAUUGUUUCACCUAAUACGUGAAACAUUGAUUGUAGCGGAAGAGGAAGGGACGGCUAACUCUGUGCCAGCAGCCGCGGUAAUACAGAGGUCCCAAGCGUUGUUCGGAUUCACUGGGCGUAAAGGGUGCGUAGGCGGCCAGGUAAGUUUGAUGUGAAAUCCCGCAGCUCAACUGCGGAACUGCAUUGAAUACUAUUGGCUUGAGGAAUGGAGGGGAGACUGGAAUUCUCGGUGUAGCAGUGAAAUGCGUAGAUAUCGAGAGGAACACCAGUGGCGAAGGCGAGUCUCUGGACAUUUCCUGACGCUCAGGCACGAAAGCCAGGGGAGCAAACGGGAUUAGAUACCCUAGUAGUCC